Molecule: long non-coding RNA, 527 nt
Organism: Pecten maximus
Lineage: Eukaryota; Metazoa; Mollusca; Bivalvia; Pectinida; Pectinidae
Exons: 4
Source: RefSeq, a predicted model, not a curated record
ACAGGAGAGUGUAGGUGUAUGUACUUACUUUGUAGGUGUAGACAGGAGAGUGUAGGUGUAUGUACUCACUCUGUAGGAGUAGACAGGAGAGUGUAGGUGUAUGUACAGGAGAGUGUAGGUGUAUGUACAGGAGAGUGUAGGUGUAUGUACUCACUUUGUAGGAGUAGACAGGAGAGUGUAGGUGUAUGUACUGACUUUGUAGGAGUAGACAGGAGAGUGUAGGUGUAUGUACAGGAGAGUGUAGGUGUAUGUACUCACUUUGUAGGAGUAGACAGGAGAGUGUAGGUGUAUGUACUCACUUUGUAGGAGUGGACAGGAGAGUGUGGGUGUAUGUACUCACUUUGUAGGAGUGUACAGGAGAGUGUAGGUGUAUGUACUCACGUUGUAGGAGUAGACAGGAGAGUGUAGGUGUAUGUACUCACUUUGUAGGAGUAGACAGGAGAGUGUAGGUGUAUGUACUCACUUUGUAGGAGUAGACAGGAGAGUGUAGGUGUAUGUACUCACUUUGUAGGAGUGGACAGGAGAGU